UAGGGAAUCUUCCGCAAUGGGCGAAAGCCUGACGGAGCAACGCCGCGUGAGUGAUGAAGGUCUUCGGAUCGUAAAACUCUGUUAUUAGGGAAGAACAAAUGUGUAAGUAACUAUACACAUCUUGACGGUACCUAAUCAGAAAGCCACGGCUAACUACGUGCCAGCAGCCGCGGUAAUACGUAGGUGGCAAGCGUUAUCCGGAAUUAUUGGGCGUAAAGCGCGCGUAGGCGGUUUUUUAAGUCUGAUGUGAAAGCCCACGGCUCAACCGUGGAGGGUCAUUGGAAACUGGAAAACUUGAGUGCAGAAGAGGAAAGUGGAAUUCCAUGUGUAGCGGUGAAAUGCGCAGAGAUAUGGAGGAACACCAGUGGCGAAGGCGACUUUCUGGUCUGUAACUGACGCUGAUGUGCGAAAGCGUGGGGAUCAAACAGG
RNAcentral lists this ribosomal RNA (429 nucleotides) under Bacteroidota bacterium. RNAcentral describes it as "Bacteroidetes bacterium partial 16S ribosomal RNA". It matches the Rfam family "Bacterial small subunit ribosomal RNA", at positions 355 to 776 of the family's 1533-position model. Lineage: Bacteria; Pseudomonadati; Bacteroidota. The record is from RNAcentral.